GACAAGGAUAGAGAGCAUAAGAAGCACAAGCAUCGACAUAAAGACCGAAGUAAGGAUAAAGACAAGGACAAGAAGAAAGACAAAAGUGCACAUCAAGAUUCUGGUGCUGAUCAUUCGAAGAAGCAUCAUGAAAAGAAAAGGAAGCAUGAUGGAGAAGAUGAUAUUAAUGACAUUCAUAGGCACAAGAAAAGUAAGCAUAAGACCUCAAAAAUUGAAGAAAUGGGAGUGAUAAAGGUAGCGGGCUGACAUUGUGGAAUAAUCUAGGUCAUUUAUUUCCUCGUAUGGUUGUAGAAAGAUUGGUGGAAUUUUCACUUAAUGUUGUCAAAAAAUACUUGAGAGUAGCUUCUGAUGAGGGUGAAUUUACCAGUUUUAGGGUAUGUGGAAGCAAAUGUAAAAAAAAAAUUUGGUGGAAAUGGACUUUUGUAUCAUAACAAACAAUGGGGUCUGAUAUAUAAAUAUGAGCGAUUUGCA
RNAcentral lists this unclassified non-coding RNA (471 nucleotides) under Hevea brasiliensis (rubber tree). Lineage: Eukaryota; Viridiplantae; Streptophyta; Magnoliopsida; Malpighiales; Euphorbiaceae. The record is from RNAcentral.